CGGCGGUAUAGCUUAGUUGGCUAGAGCGUUCGGUUCAUACCCGAAAGGUCAUAGGUUCGAACCGCUACCAUCUA
This 74-nucleotide transfer RNA is filed under the name Clostridioides difficile. Its description in RNAcentral is "tRNA-Met(cat)". It matches the Rfam family "tRNA". From Rfam's summary of the family: Transfer RNA (tRNA) molecules are approximately 80 nucleotides in length. Their secondary structure includes four short double-helical elements and three loops (D, anti-codon, and T loops). Lineage: Bacteria; Bacillati; Bacillota; Clostridia; Peptostreptococcales; Peptostreptococcaceae. The record is from RNAcentral.